This 468-nucleotide ribosomal RNA is filed under the name uncultured bacterium. RNAcentral describes it as "partial 16S ribosomal RNA". It matches the Rfam family "Bacterial small subunit ribosomal RNA", at positions 28 to 507 of the family's 1533-position model. The record is from RNAcentral.
GACGAACGCUGGCGGCGUGCUUAAUACAUGCAAGUCGAACGGAAAGGUGCUGCGUUUGUGGGGUGCUCGAGAGGCGAACGGGGGAGUAACACGUGAGUAACCUGCCCUUGACAUUGGGAGAACUUUAGGAAACUGGGGCUAAUAUCGGAUAGGAGCUCUUGCUGCGCGGGGGUGGUUGGAAAGUGUCGGCGGUGGUGGCUGGACUCGCGGCUUAUCAGCUUGUUGGUGAGGUAGGGGCUUACCAAGGCUUUGACGGGUAGCCGGCCUGAGAGGGUGACCGGCCACAUUGGGCCUGCGAUACGGCCCAGACUCCUACGGGACGCAGCAGUCGGGAAUAUUGCGCAGUGGGCGGGAGCCUGAUGCAGCAACGCCGCGUGCGGGAUGCCGUCCUUCGGGUUGUAAACCGAUUUCGCCUGUGCCGAGGAGUGAGUGACGGUAAUGGGUCAAGAAGCACCAGCUAACUACGUG